RNAcentral lists this ribosomal RNA (238 nucleotides) under Buthacus levyi. RNAcentral describes it as "partial large subunit ribosomal RNA". Lineage: Eukaryota; Metazoa; Arthropoda; Arachnida; Scorpiones; Buthidae. The record is from RNAcentral.
AAUUUAACUUUUUAGUAAGAAGACUAAAAUAAAUCUUUUAGACAAGAAGACCCUAUAAAACUUUAUAUUUUGAAUUUUUAGGAGAAGUAAAAAAUAUUACACUGGGGCGGUGGAGGAAAAAUCUUUCUUUAAAUAAGGAAACUUAGCUGUUUGAAUAUCUUGAAUUUCUGAAAUAAGAAUAAGUUACUUUAGGGAUAACAGCUUAAUUUACUUUUAAAGAUCAAAUUGACAAGUAAGU